Molecule: unclassified non-coding RNA, 200 nt
Filed under: Geastrum sp.
Lineage: Eukaryota; Fungi; Basidiomycota; Agaricomycetes; Geastrales; Geastraceae
Description: partial internal transcribed spacer 2
Source: RNAcentral
UUAAGUUCAGCGGGUAAUCCUACCUGAUUUGAGGUCAAACGACAUAUAUAUGCGGGUCAAACGACGCAUAUAUCCCGUUGUCUUUCGACGGUUGGGAGCAACCCGUCUUGAUCCUAACAAUGCUUUUUAUUAUCACAUUGCGCGUGAUCAAGGCAGACCGCUAAUGCAUUUAGGAUGAGUCGUGUAAUUCCCACAACAAC